UACGGAGGGGGCUAGCGUUGUUCGGAAUUACUGGGCGUAAAGCGUACGUAGGCGGCUUUGUAAGUUAGAGGUGAAAGCCCGGGGCUCAACCCCGGAACUGCCUUUAAGACUGCAUCGCUUGAAUCCGGGAGAGGUGAGUGGAAUUCCGAGUGUAGAGGUGAAAUUCGUAGAUAUUCGGAAGAACACCAGUGGCGAAGGCGGCUCACUGGACCGGUAUUGACGCUGAGGUGCGAAAGCGUGGGGAUCAAACAGG
Molecule: ribosomal RNA, 253 nt
Filed under: uncultured bacterium
Lineage: Bacteria
Description: partial 16S ribosomal RNA
Rfam family: Bacterial small subunit ribosomal RNA
Source: RNAcentral